Molecule: long non-coding RNA, 1008 nt
Filed under: Jatropha curcas
Lineage: Eukaryota; Viridiplantae; Streptophyta; Magnoliopsida; Malpighiales; Euphorbiaceae
Description: long non-coding RNA (JCUR_LNC000144)
Source: RNAcentral
AUAAUUUUUAACUGGAUAGGUCAUAUUGAGGUGAGGCAGAAUAUAAUAAGGAAAUGGGUAAAACUUCCUUUGCACAACUAGUAUGAAGGGUAAGAUUUUGGGUGUUUUAAUAUAGAAUUAAAAGUAAAAUUGGUUGGUAAAUAAUUGGGCAAAAGUUUGAAUCGAAAAUUUGAUUAAUAUGGAAAAGAUUGACUAAUAGUUAAUAGAAGUAAUUACAAGUCAUGAAAUAAUUAUGAAUCUUUUAUAAUAAAAUGAGCAAUUAGAUUGAAUCGAUAAUAGACUUAUGGAACUAAUGUGUAACUAAGGGAUAGUUGGAAAAAAAAAAAAAUUAUAAGGUGAAAAGUGUAGUAAGUGUAUUAGAUAUAGAUAUUAUAUAAGUAAGAUCCUAGCACAUGUAGGAUACUUAAAGGGGCUAGACUAAAUUCAUUAAUCUAUUAUACUAAAAUGAAUGUAGAAGAUGGUGCAUAACUUUACAUCAGAAAUGGGGAAUGAAUGGGGAAAGGAACGUGGAUGCGCUAGGAAAACUUAAUAAAUUAAGGGAAUUUGAUAUAUUUAGAUAGGGAGUUAUGUAAAAAGGAUUAAUACUAUUUAUUAAUCUAAGUUAAGUCUAAGAAAUUUACAUAAAAUCUACUUUAAAGAAUUAAGUACAAAAUUAGAUGAGGUGCUAAAUAGAAUGAAAUAAAGAUUUAAUAACAUUUGGAAAGGGAUAAAACAAAUCAAAGAUAACUCAUAAUGAUUAAGUAGAGAUUGAAAAAUUAGAAUAGGAAAUCUAAGGAGUAAUGGCCUUACGACGGAAUUAAAAUUUGUGUAGAAUGAUGGUUUUACGCCAUAGAUUCAUGUAUCCAUUAUUAAACUCUUUUACGGAUAAGAUUUAAAUGAGGUUAGGUACACUAAGAAGAUAUGGAGGAUAAAAGAAAGAUGAAGAUAAAUGAAAAAUCUAAAGAACUUGAAUAAGACUAGGAGAUGUUGAAUAGUAGAAAAGCCGAUAAUAUAGUCAAUUAAUUUCUC